This 254-nucleotide long non-coding RNA is filed under the name Homo sapiens (human). RNAcentral's name for it is "HSALNT0295278". Lineage: Eukaryota; Metazoa; Chordata; Mammalia; Primates; Hominidae. The record is from RNAcentral.
UUUUUCAUCUCAUUUCAUCUCAAUUCAUCUCAUCAUUUCAUCUCCUCAUCUCAUCAUUUCCUCCUUUCAUUACAACAUUUCAUCUCAUUUCUUCUCAUCUCAUUUCAAUUUCAUUAUUUCAUCUCAUUUCAUUAUUUCACCUAAUUUCAUUAUUUCAUCUCAUCUCAUCUCAGUUCAUCUGAUCUCAUUUCAUCUCAUUUCAUUAUUUCACCUAAUUUCAUUAUUUCAUCUCAUCUCAUCUCAGUUCAUCUGAU